UACGAAGGGUGCAAGCGUUAAUCGGAAUUACUGGGCGUAAAGGGUGCGUAGGCGGUUAGUUAAGUCUGUUGUGAAAUCCCCGGGCUCAACCUGGGAAUUGCAUUGGAUACUGGCGAGCUAGAGUGCGGUAGAGGAUGGCGGAAUUCCCGGUGUAGUAGUGAAAUGCGUAGAGAUCGGGAGGAACAUCUGUGGCGAAGGCGGCCAUCUGGACCAGCACUGACACUGAGGCACGAAAGCGUGGGGAGCAAACAGG
Molecule: ribosomal RNA, 253 nt
Filed under: uncultured bacterium
Lineage: Bacteria
Description: partial 16S ribosomal RNA
Rfam family: Bacterial small subunit ribosomal RNA
Source: RNAcentral